This 253-nucleotide ribosomal RNA is filed under the name uncultured bacterium. Its description in RNAcentral is "partial 16S ribosomal RNA". It matches the Rfam family "Bacterial small subunit ribosomal RNA", at positions 524 to 776 of the family's 1533-position model. The record is from RNAcentral.
UACGUAGGGUGCAAGCGUUGUCCGGAAUUAUUGGGCGUAAAGAGCGUGUAGGCGGCCCGGUUAGUCCGAUGUGAAAGUCCAGGGCUCAACCCUGGAAUGCCGGUGGAUACUGUCGGGCUAGAGUCCGGAAGGGGCGAGUGGAAUUCCUGGUGUAGCGGUGAAAUGCGCAGAUAUCAGGAGGAACACCAAUGGCGAAGGCAGCUCGCUGGGACGUGACUGACGCUGAGACGCGAAAGCGUGGGGAGCAAACAGG